GUCCACUUGGUCUAGGGGUAUGAUUCUUCCUUAGGGUGGAAGAGGUCCCGGGUUCGAUUCCCGGAGUGGACC
Molecule: non-coding RNA, 72 nt
Organism: Cylindrotheca closterium
Lineage: Eukaryota; Bacillariophyta; Bacillariophyceae; Bacillariales; Bacillariaceae
Source: the annotation of a GenBank genome assembly